CCCUUAGAUGUUCUGGGCCGCACGCGUGCUACACUGAGUGGAUCAGCGGGUCAGGUUGCGCGAAAGCGUUUCCUAAUCUUUAAAUCCGCUCGUGAUGGGGAUUGACGGGUGCAAUUUUCUGUCAUGAACGAGGAAUACCUUGUAAGCGCGGGUCAUCAUCCCGCGCUGAAUACGUCCCUGCCCUUUGUACACACCGCCCGUCGCUCCUACCGAUUGAGUGGUCCGGUGAGGCUUUGGGAUCUGAGCGGAAAGAGCGUUUCGCUGUUUCUGCUCGGAAAACUCAGUCGAACCUUAUCAUUUAGAGGAAGGAGAAGUCGUAACA
Molecule: ribosomal RNA, 322 nt
Filed under: uncultured eukaryote
Lineage: Eukaryota
Description: partial 18S ribosomal RNA
Rfam family: Eukaryotic small subunit ribosomal RNA
Source: RNAcentral